This 751-nucleotide ribosomal RNA is filed under the name uncultured bacterium. RNAcentral's name for it is "bacterial SSU rRNA". It matches the Rfam family "Bacterial small subunit ribosomal RNA", at positions 579 to 1330 of the family's 1533-position model. The record is from RNAcentral.
ACUCAUGUGUCGGACGUGAAAUACCGGGGCUUACCCCGGUGCUGCGUCCGAAACUAUGAGUCUAGAGACUUGGAGGGGUAAGCGGAAUUCUUGGUGGAGCAGUGAGAUGCGUAGAUAUCAAGAGGAACACCAACGGCGAAGGCAGCUUACUGGACAAGAUCUGACGCUCAGGCUCGAAAGCGUGGGGAGCAAAAGGGAUUAGAUACCCCUGUAGUCCACGCUGUAAACGGUGCGCAUUAGGUCUUGGAGCUUUCGAACGCUCCAGGGCUCAAGCUAACGCGAUAAAUGCGCCGCCUGAGGACUACGGCCGCAAGGCUAAAGCUCAAAGGAAUUGACGGGGGCCCGCACAAGCGGUGGAGCAUGUGGCUUAAUUCGAUGCAACGCGAAGAACCUUACCUAGGUUUGACAUGGACGUGGUACCCGGGGCGAAAGCUUUGGGGACCCGCAAGGGAGCGUUCACAGGUGCUGCAUGGCUGUCGUCAGCUCGUGUCGUGAGAUGUUCGGUUAAGUCCGGCAACGAGCGCAACCCUCGCCUCCAGUUACCAGCGAGUAAAGUCGGGGACUCUGGAGGGACUAACCCGUUAGGGUGGGAAGGUGGGGAUGACGUCAAGUCAGUAUGGCCCUUACAUCUAGGGCUGCACACGUGCUACAAUGCCUGGUACAAAAGGAACCAAUACCGCGAGGUGGAGGAAAUCCCUAAAGCCAGGCCCAGUUCAGAUUGGAGUCUGCUACUCGACUCCAUGAAGCCGGA